RNAcentral lists this ribosomal RNA (468 nucleotides) under uncultured bacterium. RNAcentral's name for it is "partial 16S ribosomal RNA". It matches the Rfam family "Bacterial small subunit ribosomal RNA", at positions 28 to 507 of the family's 1533-position model. The record is from RNAcentral.
GACGAACGCUGGCGGCGUGCUUAACACAUGCAAGUCGAACGGAAAGGCCCUGCUUUUGUGGGGUGCUCGAGUGGCGAACGGGUGAGUAACACGUGAGUAACCUGCCCUUGACUUUGGGAUAACUUCAGGAAACUGGGGCUAAUACCGGAUAGGAGCUCCUGCUGCAUGGGGGGGGUUGGAAAGUUUCGGCGGUUGGGGAUGGACUCGCGGCUUAUCAGCUUGUUGGUGGGGUAGUGGCUUACGAAGGCUUUGACGGGUAGCCGGCCUGAGAGGGUGACCGGCCACAUUGGGACUGAGAUACGGCCCAGACUCCUACGGGAGGCAGCAGUGGGGAAUAUUGCACAAUGGGCGGAAGCCUGAUGCAGCAACGCCGCGUGCGGGAUGACGGCCUUCGGGUUGUAAACCGCUUUCGCCUGUGACGAAGCGUGAGUGACGGUAAUGGGUAAAGAAGCACCGGCUAACUACGUG